RNAcentral lists this ribosomal RNA (533 nucleotides) under uncultured bacterium. Its description in RNAcentral is "partial 16S ribosomal RNA". The record is from RNAcentral.
GGAGUUAGCCGGUGCUUCUUCUGCGAGUAACGUCACAGAUGUAAGGUAUUAACUUACACCCUUUCCUCCUCGCUGAAAGUGCUUUACAACCCGAAGGCCUUCUUCACACACGCGGCAUGGCUGCAUCAGGGUUUCCCCCAUUGUGCAAUAUUCCCCACUGCUGCCUCCCGUAGGAGUCUGGGCCGUGUCUCAGUCCCAGUGUGGCUGAUCAUCCUCUCAGACCAGCUAGGGAUCGUCGCCUAGGUGAGCCUUUACCUCACCUACUAGCUAAUCCCACCUGGGCUUAUCCAUCAGCGCAAGGCCCGAAGGUCCCCUGCUUUCCCCCGUAGGGCGUAUGCGGUAUUAGCAGUCGUUUCCAACUGUUAUCCCCCACAAAUGGGCAAAUUCCCAGGCAUUACUCACCCGUCCGCCGCUCGUCAUCUUCAAAAGCAAGCUUUUGAAAUGUUACCGCUCGACUUGCAUGUGUUAGGCCUGCCGCCAGCGUUCAUCUGAGCCAGAGACACACUCUACAGAGACGGCGGCGCGACGACGCG